Long non-coding RNA from Heterocephalus glaber (naked mole-rat), 1495 nucleotides. The record is from Ensembl. Lineage: Eukaryota; Metazoa; Chordata; Mammalia; Rodentia; Bathyergidae.
CGGGGCUCUCAAUCCUGAUCCGCUGCGUCGGUGACUGUUGAGUGCCCCUGCUCGAGCUUGAAUAAAUGACCCUCGUGUGUUUACAUCGGAAUCAGCUCCUUGGUGGUCUUUGGGGACCUCGCGAUCUGGGCACAACAGAACUACUACAGGGCUGCUGCUGCAGAAAUGAAUAAUUGCCCUAAAGAUCAUCUGGCCUGCAAAACUGAGUAUGUUUACUAGCUGGCUCUUCACAGAAAAAGUGUGAGGACUCUGUCUGCCUUAGGACCACCACUCCAAGGAGGAUGGCAGUUAGGAUGGCCCUGCUUCGGAAGGGCCCCCAUCUUCAUGUCCCCUAAAAGAAGGAAAGGUUCAAGCAGAAAGUGAUGUGUGAUGACCUUCAACUGACCCAAGGGCUUGAAGUUAUGGAAGGGUAGAGAAGGGCUCCACCUUGGAAAUGGGCCACCAGGACCCCGAGGGAGUGGCAGUUCGGGCCCUAUCAUGGGAACUCAGGGCAGAGCGAUGAACACGGACAGGGAGGAGUGCCUGUUCUCAGGGGCUGGCCAUCCUACUGGCGGGAGCAGGAGGAAACACCUAAGAGCACUGGAUAGCAUGUUCCUGACAAUUCAGAGUAGAGACCAGUAAAUCCAGUAAAGAACUCCACCUAGCCGAGCACAUAUUUACGUCAAUGAUGUGGGGAAGCAUGUAGAGCCUUGGUUGAGUUUAUCAUAACAGAAGCGACUGGAAUCCAUCUAAAUGUCUAUGGGAAAGAGCCAGCAAGUCAAGAAAAAUGAAGAAGAGGGGAGAUAAUCAAUAGUGUUACAUUCCUAAUAAAGCAAGAAGAGGCAUAGCUCAUCCAUACUAUCAGUAAGCAAAAAGGAUCGUAGAAUAUUGGUGUAAGAUUCCUAUAAAGUCUUGGUCACUUGAAUGAUGUCUUCCUCUGGAUUCUGUGGGAAUGCGGCUUUCUCCCUAUAUUGAUCUUGUUGUGACCAUUUAGGCUUAAGAGAAGACAUCGUAUGUCUGUCCUUUAAUGUCCUCCAAAGUGAUACACUUAAGAAUAGAACUGACUUGGAUUCCCAGGCCAAUGUUCUUUCCCUACAUUAUAUAGUUGUUGUUGAACACAGUGUUCUUUAAAAUUAUCCUCAUUAUUUAAAAUUGCUGAUUAACAAUUUUCUCUGUACUUUGUACCUUCCAUCUGCCAGUUUGGUUUGGAGCUGGUUUCUGCAUAUGAAAUUAGUCUGAAAGCCUAGAACUUCCUUGCCCAGAAGUCUGAAGCAGCUCUCUUCUCCCACUUCCUACUCAAUGUUUCUUCAUCACUCACCACUCGGUCCUACUUUCUCAUCAUACUACACCUUGUAAUUAGCUUGUUUGGUUGCUUACUUGUGCAUGAUUUGACUGACUCCCUGUGAGACUUUGAGUCCCAAGAAGAUAUGGAAUUUCCUUUUUCUGAUUCUCACACCCAGUUCUGAAUGGCAUGAAACAUUAUGCCUUGCAUAAUGUCACACCAGGCAUCUGUGAG